AUUAAUAAGCGGAGGAAAAGAAACCAACCGGGAUUCCCUGAGUAAGGGCGACUGAAAUGGGAAGAGCCCAGCGCAUAACCUCGCGGUCCUAACGCGGCCGUCGAGGGGUGUUGCGUUUCGGUGCAUCCAUCCCGCCCGAGCUGCUCACCGCCUAAGUCAUUGCUUGAAAGCAGCCCCAAGGAGGGUGAUAGGCCCGUGUGGCGGCGCCUGUAAAACGGGUGUAGGCGGCCCGGGCGGAGGGAUGUCCACCGCAGAGUCGGGUUGCUUAGUACUGCAGCCCUAAGCAGGUGGUAAACUCCAUCUAAGGCUAAAUACAACCACGAGUCCGAUAGGCGACAAGUACCGUGAGGGAAAGCUGAAAAGGACUUUGAAGAGAGAGUUAACAAGGACGUGAAACCGUUAGAAGCCCAAACGGGUGGAACUGCGAUGUUCGAAAGAGGGGAUUCAGCCCGCGGGCCUGCUGGGCGAAGGGCGGUUCAGAGAAAUUACUUAGAUGAGACCCGGCGUGAAUUGGGAUAGCCGUGGCACCGCCCCCGCCUGCGCAGUGGUUCCGCGGGCUUAUUUCGCCCUCUAGUAGGCGUCGCCGCGACUCGUUGAGGGGACUCCCAGGGCCGUGCCGGACUGGUAGCCCGGACCUUCGGGUCCAGGUGACGACCGGCUGCGGUGCCGACGGGCCCUCGCGACGAGCACUGCGAGGAGGCCUGGCUUGGGUCCUCCGGGGCCUGGGCCGGCAUCUCUCGCGGCGCAGACAGGGAUCGGUAAUCCACCCGA
Molecule: ribosomal RNA, 771 nt
Filed under: Parapontophilus junceus
Lineage: Eukaryota; Metazoa; Arthropoda; Malacostraca; Decapoda; Crangonidae
Description: eukaryotic LSU rRNA
Rfam family: Eukaryotic large subunit ribosomal RNA
Source: RNAcentral